RNAcentral lists this unclassified non-coding RNA (868 nucleotides) under Hevea brasiliensis (rubber tree). The record is from RNAcentral. Lineage: Eukaryota; Viridiplantae; Streptophyta; Magnoliopsida; Malpighiales; Euphorbiaceae.
GUAUGGAACCUGGCUUUAAGAGGGUAAGUCAAAAUAAAUGAUUUGUUAAUAUCCAUAAAAUCUGCUCCAAGAUUAGAAAAGGGAAAUGUGUUCUGUAUUUAGUUGAAGAUGGAAGAUAAGGAAUAUCUUUUCUUAGUAGUUUCCAUGUUUGUGGAAUGAAUAUUGAUCUUAUUUUCUUCUCGGCCAUAUGUUCUCUAUUAAAUGCUCUGGAAAUUGUUUGUAGUACUGUAUCAAUUUCCGUGAGAUGGCAUGUCAUUUUUUAAAUGAUUGAGCUUUUUUGUGAUGGCUUGUCUUUAAUUGAGCAAAAUUUAAUCAUCCUUGCAUAUUCACUUUAUGGUUUUUACCUUUUCUUUUGAAGCUCUUCUUUGAUUUUGAGCAUCUUUUUAUUCUUUGUAGGUUUGUUAUUAAGACUAUUUUUGUAUUUUAUGUUUUGUAUAUUGUUGAAGAGAAACAUAGUUUUGGAAUCACACAAAAAGAGGAAGAAAGAAAUAGAAAUGAAAUGUUUCAUCUUUGAUGGAGUCAUUUCUGAAAAAUUUACUACUUUUGUAUUACAUCUCUAUGAGCCUGAACUGCAGGUAUUUUAUGUGCUUAGUGCUGCAACCAAGAAACCUCAUGUUUGAUUCCCAUUUCCUUAUGUGCUGCUAUGUUACCAUUUCUUGUAAUUAUUCCUCUCUUCCAUACCUCAGGCUGAUUAUAAGAACUGGCAAAAAGCAGUGUUAUACAAUUAGUUUAGUUUAGAUGCAACAGAAAUCUAGUAGAUGUUAUUGGUAUGCUGCUGCUGAAUGUAAAUACUCACGCUGACAAUUUUUUACUGAGAUCUAAUAGGUAUCUUUACUUGUUGGAUAGCAACUCAUUUCAAAUUAUUUUG